Molecule: ribosomal RNA, 405 nt
Filed under: uncultured bacterium
Lineage: Bacteria
Description: partial 16S ribosomal RNA
Rfam family: Bacterial small subunit ribosomal RNA
Source: RNAcentral
AUUGAACGCUGGCGGCAGGCCUAACACAUGCAAGUCGAGCGAGCGGCGGACGGGUGAGUAAUGUCUGGGAAACUGCCUGAUGGAGGGGGAUAACUACUGGAAACGGUAGCUAAUACCGCAUACCAUCAGAUGUGCCCAGAUGGGAUUAGCUAGUAGGUGGGGUAACGCCUCACCUAGGCGACGAUCCCUAGCUGGUCUGAGAGGAUGACAAGCCACAAUGGAACUGGGACAGGGUCCAGACUCCUAGGGGAGGCAGCAGUGGGGAAUAUUGCACAAUGGGCGAAAGCAUGAGGCAGACAUGCCGCGGGUGUGAAGAAGGCUUUGGGGUUGUAAAGCAGUUUCAGCGGGGAGGCGUGACCCGCAGAAGAAGCACGGGCUAACUCCGUGCCAGCAGCCGCGUUAAAC